UUGAGUGUGAGGGACUUGACCACUUCGUGUGUUCUUGCGAUUGCAUUAGUUGCAUCGGUUUGAGUUCUCCAUAGUGAUACGUGGAAGUGAGAAGUUGAGAACCUUAUUACCUUUGGUACUUAGUACCCUAGAUAUUGUUCUUCGUGUAUGCUUUGGCGUCCUAGAAGCUUGGUGGUGUCUCGGAGCUCAAUCAUUGUGGUGUGAAGCUUCGGGCAUCGGGGUCUCCAAUU
This 230-nucleotide long non-coding RNA is filed under the name Hordeum vulgare. RNAcentral describes it as "long non-coding RNA (HVUL_LNC005049)". Lineage: Eukaryota; Viridiplantae; Streptophyta; Magnoliopsida; Poales; Poaceae. The record is from RNAcentral.